UCUUGAUUCGUCUAGUGGUUAGGAUACCUGCUUGUCAUCAGCUGGCAGUAGCGUUAGUAAAUUCGGCUAUAGACUCAAACGAGGACCGUAUACGCAGGUGGCCGGGGUUCAAUUCCCCGAUCGAGAG
Molecule: non-coding RNA, 127 nt
Organism: Hypoxylon fuscum
Lineage: Eukaryota; Fungi; Ascomycota; Sordariomycetes; Xylariales; Hypoxylaceae
Source: the annotation of a GenBank genome assembly